CGUUAAAGAAAAUUAAUCCAAGACUGACACUUUUGAUACAAGCUAUUACUCCUAAUCAUUGUGUAAUCUUACAAUAUAUGUAACUGUCUCCUAACCCUCCUAUGGGCUGCAUAGAAUAUAUCUGUUUCAAACACGUCAUCAGUUUUUUACUUGUAUGUUUUCUGUAAACUAAUGUCGGUGAUGUUAUAAUGAUGUGUACGACUCACACCCAUGUUCUGUUUCUACCAAGAUAGUCGUAAAAGACAAAAUAUUAGUAAAUCCAUGCAGAGUCAAGUAUCGAUAUCUUAUUAUAAUGGGUAUGACGCGCAAUCCAGUUUUCAAAUAUUAGGAC
This 331-nucleotide long non-coding RNA is filed under the name Mytilus galloprovincialis (Mediterranean mussel). Lineage: Eukaryota; Metazoa; Mollusca; Bivalvia; Mytilida; Mytilidae. The record is from RNAcentral.